Molecule: ribosomal RNA, 392 nt
Filed under: uncultured bacterium
Lineage: Bacteria
Description: partial 16S ribosomal RNA
Rfam family: Bacterial small subunit ribosomal RNA
Source: RNAcentral
AUACGGAGGAUGCAAGCGUUAUCCGGAUUUAUUGGGUUUAAAGGGUGCGUAGGCGGAUGAUUAAGCGUGAGGUGAAAUGCCACUGCUCAACAGUGGAACUGCCUCGCGAACUGGUUGUCUUGAAUGCUCCUGCCGUGGGAGGAAUGUGUGGUGUAGCGGUGAAAUGCUUAGAGAUUACACAGAACACCGAUUGCGAAGGCAUCUCACGAAGGGUUGUUUGACGCUGAGGCACGAAAGCGUGGGGAUCAAACAGGAUUAGAUCCCCUGGUAGUCCACGCAGUAAACGAUGAUGGCUGACCGCGGGGCUGAUCAGUUCAGUGGCCAAGCGAAAGCGAUAAGCCACCCGCCUGGGGAGUCCGACCGCAAGGUUGAAACUCAAAUGAAUUGGCGGG